This 75-nucleotide transfer RNA is filed under the name Streptomyces sp. XY593. RNAcentral describes it as "tRNA-Gly". It matches the Rfam family "tRNA". From Rfam's summary of the family: Transfer RNA (tRNA) molecules are approximately 80 nucleotides in length. Their secondary structure includes four short double-helical elements and three loops (D, anti-codon, and T loops). Lineage: Bacteria; Bacillati; Actinomycetota; Actinomycetes; Kitasatosporales; Streptomycetaceae. The record is from RNAcentral.
GGAGCCGUAGCGCAGCGGUAGACGCGCCCUCUUGCCAAGAGGGAGGACGCCGGUUCGAAUCCGGCCACUCCCCCA